Molecule: long non-coding RNA, 1149 nt
Filed under: Homo sapiens (human)
Lineage: Eukaryota; Metazoa; Chordata; Mammalia; Primates; Hominidae
Description: HSALNT0337916
Source: RNAcentral
CUCUGUGUCUAGCUCAAGGUUUGUAAACGUACCAAUCAGCACCCUGUCAAAACGAACCAAUCAGUUCUCUGUAAAAUGGACCAAUCAGCUCUCUGUAAAAUGGACCAAUCAGCAGGAUGCGGGUGGGGUCAGAUACGGGAAGAAAAGCAGGCUGCCCAAGCUAGCGGCGGCUCUCUGCUGGAGUUCUUUUCCACGCUGUGGAAGCUUUGUUCUUUUGCUCUUUGUAAUAAAUCUUGCUGUUGCUCACCCUUUGGGGCCACGCCACCUUUAUGAGCGGUAACACUCACCACGAAGGUCUGCAACUUCAUUGCUGAAGCCAGCGAGACCAAGAACCCACUGGGAGGGACUAACAACUCCAGACACGCUGCCUUUAAGAGCUGUAGCACUCACCGCAAAGGUCUGCAGCUUCAUUCCUGAAGUCAGCAAGACCACGAACCCACCAGAAGGAAGAAACUCCAGACACAUCUGAACAUCUGAAGGAACAAACUCCAGAAACGCCAUCUUUAAGAACUGUAACACUCACCGCGAGGGUCUGCCGCUUCAUUCUUUAAGUCAGCGAGACCAAGAACCCACCAAUUGACACAGCAGCUUUUUUUUUGUUUUUUUUUCGAGAUGGAGUCUCACUUUGUCGCCCAGGCUGGAGUGCAGUGGCAUGAUCUUGGCUCACUGCAAGCUCCGCCUCUGAGGUUCAGGCCAUUCUCCUGCCUCAGUCUCCCGAAUAGCUGGGACCACAGGCGCCUGCCACGACGCCUGGCUAAGUUUUUGUGUUUUUAAUAGAGACGGGGUUUCACCGUGUUAGCCAGGAUUGUCUCUAUCUCCUAACCUCGUGAUCUGCCCGCCUCGGCCUCCCACAGUGCUGGGAUUACAGGCAUGAGCCACCGCGCCAGGCUACAGCAGCAUCUUGAUGACCAUAUGAUACAGCUGUUUCAUGCUUUUUGAGAUGGAGUAUCGCUCUGUCACCAGGCUGGAGUAUAAUGGCGCGAUCUCGACUCACUGCAACCUCCGUGUCCUGGGUUAAAGCGAUUUUCCUGCCUCAGCCUCCCAAGUAACUGGGACUACAGGACUGGUGAAAGAAGGAAAAAAAAAGAUUAUAAGAAGAGAGAGGCCUGAGCUAACAUACUCAUUCCCCUCUCCAUGUGAUGCCCUGCG